Molecule: long non-coding RNA, 3437 nt
Organism: Salvelinus fontinalis (brook trout)
Lineage: Eukaryota; Metazoa; Chordata; Actinopteri; Salmoniformes; Salmonidae
Exons: 4
Source: RefSeq, a predicted model, not a curated record
UGUGUGUUAUAUAGUGAUUUUGCCCACUCUGGUAUUGGCACAUGCGCUUUCGUGUCUACAGUGCAGGUAUAGCCUACAUGAAUAUAUUAUUAUGGGCAGAAGAGCAAGAUCAUUUUGAUUUGUCAAACGGCAACCAAGCAUUGAUGAUCAUGUCACCAGGAUAAGAUGGAUCACAUAUGGUGUGUGUUCCUCCCUCUACGACUCGGGAAACCAUGCAGUUUAUUAGGCUACAGAUGAAAUAAAUUAUCAUGAACUUGACGUUGGUGGUGAAAGUGCACCGUGAUCUUGUUGCUCCUUUCCAAUAAAUAUUGAGUGUCUGAUUCUGGUGACAUGAUCGAUGCUUGACUGCCGAUUGACAAAAAUAUUCUCGCUCUUAUACAUAGUAAUGUCAUCAUGUAGACUAUCUUACCCGCACAGUAUCUGCCAGCUGUUGGCUGGAGAGCAUAUGCCAAGACCAGAGUGGAAACAUUUUCUAUUUGCAACAGUUUUUGUGACAAAACCCAUCGGUAGAGUUGAAAAUGCGAUGGAAACACAUUGAACUUUAGAUUUUUAUUCAGGACAUGAACACUUAAGUGACAAAGUACAUUUUUGUGUGCACUAGCUCAUCACAGAACUAAUUUUUAUCCGUAACAAGUCUGUUUUUUUUUCUUUAUGCGGAUCAUAGAAUAUUCGUAUGGAAAUCUGUCGCCAGUUGGAUGGAAAUCUAGCUAGUGAUAAGUUUUGUGGGCAAUUUUUUUUGUUCUUUAAUACUUGGAUCUUCAAUGUGUAUUGAUUACUACUAACAAGGUUAUUUAGAGCUAGGUUUGUACGAGCUAUGAUUGUCACGUUCCUGACCUGUUUUCUGUUGUGUGGUAUGUGUUUAGUUGGUCAGGGCGUGAGUUGGGGUGGGUAGUCUAUGUUAUGUGUUUUCUAUGUUGGGUUAAUGGUUUGCCUGGUAUGGUUCUCAAUUAGAGGUCAGGUGUUUUACAUUUCCUCUGAUUGAGAGCCAUAUUAAGGUAGGUUGUUCUCACUGUUUGUUUGUGGGUGAUUGUAUCGUGUGUCUGUGUAUGUCGCACCAUACGGGACUGUUUGCGGUUUGUCACGGUUGUUGUUUUUGUAUGUUAAGUGUUCAGUCUGUAUUCAUUAAAUAACCAUGGACACUAACCACUCUGCAUAUUGGUCUGAUCCUUCUCGCCUCUCCUCCUCGUCCGAGGAGGAGGAUUACGACGAUCGUUACAAUGAUGAUCAUGAAUUUUUUUUCUCUGCAUCAGGUCUCACUGAGACUGGAUUCCUCAAGAGAAAUAUACAGCUGCUCAUGAUUGCCUGAUCUUAGUGUGCAAACCCCUUCUGUCCUGACUCAGAGUCUUGACUGCCAAGCGGUCCUUAAUUGGGGGAACCUCUGUCCGGGACAAUGUCCUCAGGAUUGUGGAGCGAGCUCAGACCAAACCAAUCUGAAGUAGAGCAGCAGAAGCACCAGUCGGGUCACAUCUGGAUGUGUGAUAUUCAUUCACUCUCAUAUCAUGAGACGGAAUAACCAUGACAACAUGACUGUGGGAUGUAGAUUAAACAAAGAACAAAUAGAAAUAGUGAAUAGGGGGCGUUACUGGGAGAUGUUGAAACAAGGUGUGCAUCCUCCAGAGUUGUGGAUACGGCAGAGAGUAAAGUGUAGUGGUCUCAGCUUUUAACCCAAUCUGUGCUGAGGGGAGUGUGUCGGGACAGAGGUUAGAAGAGGACGGGGAGGGUCUUUCCAGCACAGCGAGUUCACUAACUCACAUUACGAAACCAGACAAGCUACGCGAUGUAGCCUGUGACGAGAGCUCAUGUAGUAGAGUAUUCAGAUGUGUUAUUUGGGCAUGACUCUAGCUCAGUCAGUUGAACGUUUGAUACAUAGAGAGAUUGUCAGCCUUAUUCUAAGAGAUUAUAAAGACUCAUACAUGUGUGUACACUGAGUGUACAAAACAUUAAGAACACCUGCCCUUUCCAUGACAGAUCCUCAAAAAGUUAUACAGCUGCACCAUUGAGAGCAUCUUGACUGGCUGCAUCACCACUUGGUAAGCAACUGUUUGGCAUCCAACCGCAAGAUGCUACAGAGGGUAGUGCAUACGGCUCAGUACAUUACUGGCACCGAGCUCUUUGCCAUCCAGGACCUCUAUACCAGGCGGUGCCAGAGGAAGUCCCUAAAAAUUGUCAAAGAUUCCAGCCACCCAAGUCAUAACUGUUCUCUCUGCUACCGCACGGCAGGCGGCACCGAUGCACCAAGUCUGGAACCAACAGAACCCUGAAAGGUUUCUACCCCCCCCAAGCUAUAAGACUCCUAAAUAGUUAACCAAUAGUUACCCAGAAUAUCUGCAAUAACUCUUUUGACUCAUCACAUUCGCUGCUGUUACCGUUUGUUAUCUAUGCCGCUGCCUAGUCACUCUAUCCCAACCAAAUGUACUUAUCGAUCUCAGUUACCUCUUACCCCUGCACAUCGACUCGGUACUUACCCCGUCUUUAUAGCCAAGUUAUCGUUACUCAUUGUGUAUUUAUUCCUUGUGUUGUUUUCUAUUUUAAAAAAUGUCUGCAUAGUUGGGAGUAAGAAAGCAUUUAACUGUUACUAUCAGUAUUGAUGAUUUUUAAGCCUUGAGACAAUUGAGACAGGGAUUGUGUGCAGUAUGUGUGCCAAUCAGAGGGUGAAUGAGCAAGACAAAAGAUUUGCGCCUUUGAACAGGGUAUGGUAGUAAGGUGUCAGACGCACCGUGUUGAGUGCAUCAAGAACGGCAAAUCUGCUGGGUUUACACAUUAUAAAGAAUUGAUCCUGUCUGAUCUUUAUCUGCUGGGUGUACACAUUAUAAAGAAUUGAUCCUGUCUGAUCUUUAUCUGCUGGGUUUACACAUUAUAAAGAAUUGAUCCUGUCUGAUCUUUAUCUGCUGGGUUUAUACAUUAUAAAGAAUUGAUUCUGUCUGAUCUUAAUCACCUCGGUUUACACAUUAUAAAGAAUUGAUCCUGUCUGAUCUUUAUCUGCUGGGUUUAUACAUUAUAAAGAAUUGAUCCUGUCUGAUCUUUAUCUGCUGGGUUUACACAUUAUAAAGAAUUGAUCCUGUCUGAUCUUUAUCUGCUGGGUUUAUACAUUAUAAAGAAUUGAUCCUGUCUGAUCUUUAUCUGCUGGGUGUACACAUUAUAAAGAAUUGAUCCUGUCUGAUCUUUAUCUGCUGGGUGUACACAUUAUAAAGAAUUGAUCCUGUCUGAUCUUUAUCUGCUGGGUUUAUACAUUAUAAAGAAUUGAUCCUGUCUGAUCUUUAUCUGCUGGGUUUAUACAUUAUAAAGAAUUGAUCCUGUCUGAUCUUUAUCUGCUGGGUUUAUACAUUAUAAAGAAUUGAUCCUGUCUGAUCUUUAUCUGCUGGGUUUAUACAUUAUAAAUAAUUGAUCCUGUCUGAUCUUUAUCUGCUGGGUUUAUACAUUAUAAAGAAUUGAUCCUG